This 425-nucleotide ribosomal RNA is filed under the name uncultured prokaryote. Its description in RNAcentral is "bacterial SSU rRNA". It matches the Rfam family "Bacterial small subunit ribosomal RNA", at positions 355 to 796 of the family's 1533-position model. The record is from RNAcentral.
CAACGAAUAUUCCGCAAUGGGCGAAAGCCUGACGGAGCGACGCCGCGUGCAGGAUGAAGUCUUUCGGGAUGUAAACUGCUGUCAGGGGUUAGAAAGACAGUGAUCAACCCCACAGGAAGCCUCGGCUAACUCCGUGCCAGCAGCCGCGGUAAUACGGAGGAGGCGAGCGUUGUUCGGAAUUACUGGGCUUAAAGAGCGUGUAGGCGGGAUGUCAGGUGCCUUGUGAAAGCCCCCGGCUCAACCGGGGAAUUGCUUGGCAAACCGGCAUCCUUGAGGCAGGUAGAGGCGACUGGAACGUUCGGUGGAGAGGUGAAAUUCGUAGAUAUCGAACGGAACGCCGGUGGCGAAAGCGGGUCGCUGGGCCUGUCCUGACGCUGAGACGCGAAAGCGUAGGUAGCGAACGGGAUUAGAUACCCCCGUAGUCC